CAGCAGCCGCGGGAAUACGUAGGGGGCAAGCGUUGUCCGGAAUUAUUGGGCGUAAAGCGCGUGUAGGCGGCUCAGCAAGUCCGCUCUGAAAGCCCAGGGCUCAACCCUGGGAUGCGGGUGGAUACUGCUGAGCUCGAGUCCGGAAGAGGCGAGUGGAAUUCCUGGUGUAGCGGUGAAAUGCGCAGAUAUCAGGAGGAACACCAAUGGCGAAGGCAGCUCGCUGGGACGUGACUGACGCUGAGACGCGAAAGCGUGGGGAGCAAACAGGAUUAGAUACCCCCGUAGUCCCUGUCUCUUAUAC
RNAcentral lists this ribosomal RNA (301 nucleotides) under uncultured bacterium. RNAcentral's name for it is "partial 16S ribosomal RNA". It matches the Rfam family "Bacterial small subunit ribosomal RNA", at positions 509 to 807 of the family's 1533-position model. The record is from RNAcentral.